GGCAAGCUUCCAUGCCAUAUAUAGACAGACUCAUUGGAUCUCCCGAGGAAGUCAGAUUGGAAACUUACUGGGGCUGUGGCUGAGAUGUCACAUGGGAGAUAGGAUCACAAAUUUCUGUUGUAUCUGGAUGGAGAUCAGCAGGAGGAUCUAUGGACUGUUUGCUGUGAUUGCACCUGCCAUCUUAUGCAGAAAUGACCUGAAGACAGAUUGAAACAACGUGUUCUACAGCCUGAAAAUAUCUACCUUGACUUACAGUUUUAUUAAUGCUGGUGUGAUCAGACUGGACAAAAAUUAGCAUAUGUUAUUAACUAAUCUAAUUCAAAU
This 324-nucleotide long non-coding RNA is filed under the name Pan troglodytes (chimpanzee). Its description in RNAcentral is "long non-coding RNA NONPTRT012046". Lineage: Eukaryota; Metazoa; Chordata; Mammalia; Primates; Hominidae. The record is from RNAcentral.